Carya illinoinensis is the source of this 4768-nucleotide RNA transcript. RefSeq lists it as uncharacterized. The record is from RefSeq and is a predicted model, not a curated record. The transcript is spliced from 2 exons. Lineage: Eukaryota; Viridiplantae; Streptophyta; Magnoliopsida; Fagales; Juglandaceae.
UCAUGGGGGGGGGUGGACGCACGUUUGCUCAGGCCCUUCAACGGCACCUGCCCACAGCCAAAUUUCUUUUGCCUUUGAGGAAGCCUGAACUGAUCAUUGGGGCCCUGGGCUUUAUCUUCUUGGAGGUGGAGAUGGACAGGGCGGUGGAAGAAUUGAAGUUUGCCCUGGUGCUGAAAUUUGUGGCGAAGAGGCCUUCCAUCUAUGUGCUUCGUUUGUAGAUUAUCAAGACUCGGGGAUUUACAAAAGUACCAAUGAUUAGUUUCAUGGAUGGGGUUCACAUGCUGCUGCAUCUGGCCAAUGAGAAAGACUAUCUGCACGCGUGGACAAGGGAAGGUAGGAUGGUUGCAAGCUGUCAAUUUCGCUUGUUCAACUGGUUGGUGGAGUUCGAUGUUAAUAAGGAGCCUUCUAUUGCGCCACAAUGGUUAUUUUUGCUUGGUUUGCUGUUACAUCUCUACCGUAUGGAUUUUCUGCAGAUUCUGGCUUCUCGGUUUGGUCAUUUCCUUGGAACUGACAAUGUGACGUUAUAUCGUACUCAGGCCACUGGGGCGAGAAUUUGUGUGGAAGUUGCCCUCCAAGAUGAACUGCUGGAUGGUUUUCCAUUGCUUGUUGGUCAGAAACAGCUUCGGCAGCAGGUUAAGUACGAGAAGAGGGGCUUUUACUAUAUGAAAUACUUCCGGCAAGGCCAUAUAGCGGUUGUUUGUCGAGCUAGUGAGAAAUCACGGGCUAAAACUAGUAAGAAGGAAGGGAUGCGAGGACUAGGAAAGGAGCGAAUGGAGGAUCAUGUGUGGAAGGAAGUGGGGCGGUAGGAGGCAAUGGGGGCUCCAUCUGAGGCCAUGGAACAGAGGAUUGCUGAAACAAAGGAAGUGGGGAUGGAUGUGAUGGUGAGGAAUGAGCGGAAGGAAAGUGAGGGUGGUGAGCGGGUAGAGGAGGACGUGCAGAUAGAGGAAGGGGAGGUAUCGUCAUCCAAGGAUGUUCCAAUUACUUUAGGGAGGGUGGGGAAUGGUGAAUCUAGUGAAGUGAUGGUGGAACCUAGCAAUUAGAUGAUGGCUCUUGAUGUGGUUUCCAAAGCCCCAGCUAUACCAGUGCAUCACGGUUCAGAGAAUUUAGUUUCCUUUAAUAUCGAGGCCAUGCAACACCGUGUGGACCAAAGUGAUCGGGUUAGAGACAAUGCAAGCGAGGAGGAGGACUGUGAGGAGGUAUGGUGUGAUGAAGAGAUCAGAUGCCCACGUGAGGAGUCUUUGUUGUGUGUAAAGGAGACUGGGGAAGACUGCUUGAAUCAACCCAUAGAAGGGCCACGGGUCUGUAGUCAGGAGAUGGGCACGAUGGGUUAUUCAUCUGAGAGGGAGGUCAGUGAAAUAUCUUUGUUACGGGGUAAAGAAAGAAUGUAUGACUCGGACUCAGAGUAUCGUUUGACAUCAAAAAAUAAGAUUGAGGAAAAAGCAUUAAGGAAGUCUCAACGGGUGCAUACCUGGGCAAAUAAGUUGGAUUUAUGAUUGAUACAAUUCUUUAUUGGAAUAUUAGGGGGUUAGGCAGAUCUAAAGGAAGGCUUAAAAAAUUAACGAGGAAGGUUCACGUGGAUUUGUUUGCGAUUUCAGAGUUGUUCGCUGCUGAGGAUCGGAUGGUAACAUUGGGGCAUUUUUUGGGCUUUCAUCACUUUAUGUCCAAUGGAUGUCAGGGUGGUAAAUUGUGGAUUUUUUGGAAGGAGGUGAAUGCCUUUGAGGUGAUCUCUUUGACGACUCAAAUGGUAACCGGUUGGUUUACUAAAGAUGGCCAGCGAUUAUUGGUGACUUUUGUUUAUGCGAAAUGUUCUUACAUGGAAAGAAGAGAGUACGGAGGAGUUUGGAAGAGAGUCAAGUUUCUGAUGCACCUUGGUUGGUUCUCGGGGAUUUUAAUAUAAUUCGAAUAGACGCAGAAAGAAUUGGAGGAAAUCCAAGGCCUCUUGUAUCUAUGGCAGAUUUUAACGACUGCAUACAUCAUUAUGGACUUUUGGAUUUAUUAGGCACGAGAUAGUGCAUGUCGUGGUGCAAUGGCCACGAAGGGGUGUCGCGCAACUGAGCGAAGCUUGAUAGAGCCCUUAUUAAUACUGCUUUUUUAGAAUUAUUCAGUUCGGCACACUUUAAAUAUCUAAGUCGGAAGUCUUCUGGUCAUUGUCCUAUGGUCAUAUAUGUGAAUCAACCUUUUUCGAGGUAUGGUCCGGCCCCAUUCCGUUUCUAGAACAUGUGGUGCUCGCAUGAUAAUUUUUUGUUGUGUGAAAGACGCUUGGUGUAGGACUGAUUUGGGGUGGGGUCUUUCAAAACUGGCCAUUCGACUAAAACGCACCAAGAUUGCUUUACGUGUGUGGAAUAUAAAUGUAUUUAGGAGGGUGGAUGCACAUAUUCAGGCCCUUGCAGAGUGGUUGGAUAUCCUAGACAAUAAUUUACAAUCAUGCUAUUCAGUGGAAGAAGAAGAUGAUUUUCUGGCUACAAAACUGAGGUGUGGGAAAAGAGAGAAGCAUCUCGCCUGGGGCAACUUACCAAAAAAAAAAUGGUUAGUUGAGGGAGACCAAAACUCCAAGUUCUUUCAUUCAGUUAUCAACUAGAGAAGUAGAAGGGGGCGUAUAGAGAGAAUGGUGUUGUCCGAUGGGAGGAUUCUGAAUAGUGCAGAAUUGGUACAUGAAGGGGCCACAAAUUUCUUCCAGCAGUUUCUUCAGGAGACAUCGAUUAUUGAGCCUUGUGAUCUCUCGCCGUUAAUCACACGACAACUUUCAGAGGUUGAUAAUAACCUCUUGUGUGCAAGACUGAAUGAAGAGGAAGUUAAACGAGCAGUUUUCUCUAUUCUGGAAGACAGCACCCUGGGGUCCAAUGGCUUCGGUUCAGGAUUCUAUAAGGCUUGCUGGGAAAUAAUAAAGGAUGACCUUCUUGAAGCGGCGAAAGAUUUUUUUUAGGGUACUCCUCUUUCCAGGUUCUAUUCUUCCUCGUUUAUAGUUUUAAUUCCGAAGGUGGAUAAUCCUUCGAGCUUUGAUAAAUUCCGGCCAAUCAGUUUGUGCUCGGUGGCGUAUAACAUAUUUUUGAAGAGUAUUAUUUUCAGACUCAUUGAUAUUUUUGUGAAGUUGGUAGCACAUGAGCAAAGUGCUUUUAUCCCGGGAUGUAGUAUUUUUGAAAAUAUUACGUUGGCACAAGAAAUGGUUCAUUCUUUGCACAACCGAGUAUUGCUGACUUGCUUCAGCUGCAACCGAAGUCACUUGGCUCACUCGUUUGCUUCAUGAUCUUCAUAUUUCUCUCUCGGCUACUCCUACUAUUUUCUGUGAUAAUUGAAGUGCCAUUUCCAUGUUUGCUAACCUAGUCUCUUAUGCUUGCUCCAAGCAUAUUGAGCUCGAUUAUCACUUUGUGCAUGAGAAUGUAACUACCGGACUGCUUUGUGUUAACUUUCAUCCCUCUAAUCUUUAGAUUGCAGAUCUCUUCACCAAAAGUUUCUCUCGGCUUCAAUUUCUUUUCUUCCAAGCUGAGCUUUCUGUCUCAUCUUGCCCCACGGCAAAUCAUACGCAUCAUCCUCAAGUCAAUGCAGUAAGAAUACUCAAGAAGGAAACAAAUAAAUAUCUUUGUAUAUCCCUUUUUUGUUGCUUUAGAAUAUUCUGUCAUUAAGUCUCUUGAUUGUAAUUCUUACAAUUUAUAAUAUAAAUAAAGUCUUCAUCCUACAGCAAACGUAUACUGAGGAGUUCUCACUUCUGUGUCACUAAAUCUUUUGAACAAUAUUAUAUCAGGUAAAAAGCAUGAAAAAAAAUGUUGCAAGACCAUUUGUUUCUUUGGAUCUUGAUCAGGUCGUAGAAGGCUGAGUCGGGAUAAGGGCUGUUCUUGUAGAUCAGUUGCAGUCUUUUUCUCUAUCCUCGUUCAUAUCUGAAAUAUAUAUCUAGCACUAUAUAACAUUCAAUAUUGGAGCUGACGAUUUUAACAUGGACGUGGUAGAUUAAUCACAACUUGGAAGCAUUGACCUUAUUAUGUUAACUCUUUCUUCUGUGUAAGAAAUGCAGGAGGUAGAGAAAAUGGUCCAUCCCAAGGCUAAGGAAAGUACCAACAAAAAAGGUUUAACUCCCCGACAAGUGUUUACGAGGAACCAUGAGAACUUGAUGGAAAAGGGAGAGAAACGGACGAAGGAUACAGCAACUUCAUGCACUGUGGUGGCUGCUUUCGUUGUUACCAUUAUAUUUGCCGCGGCCUUUACCAUUCCAGGUCGUGACGACAAUAAAAACGGCUUGCCAAUUUCCAAAAAAACAGAGCCGGUUGACUUCUUUAUGAUAUGUGAUGGCCUAUCCCUCUGUUUUUCCACAGUUUCAGUCUCGAUGUUUUUGGGAAUCCUCACAUCACGCUAUUCAGAAGAUGAUUUUCUUGAGAAAUUGCCGAGGCAGAUGAUAAUAGGCCUCAUCAGCCUCUUCUGCGCUAUUACGACCAUGCUGGCAGUCUUUUUAAUUGUCAUUUUAAUCGAGCUACAUACGCGAUUAUGCACUGUAUACGCUUUCGGUUGUUUGGCCUUCGCUAUAGCGACCCUCUUCAUUGUGGUGAUUUUUCGCCUUCUUGUAGGCAUGAUCAGGUCAACGUACGGGCGAGGAAUCUUUGAUAGGAAUUGAAGGAUAAUACAACUGACUGAUCCACUGUGCAAUAUGUGGUAUGUAAAAAAAGAUGUUUUAUGUGUGAUGGACUCCCUUGGAUGAUUGGCAUAUCAGCCAGAAUCGAGUGUUUGUUCCUUUUCUGUUGAACCAAUAACUGAUGAAUCUGUAUGAAGUUUAAUUUGUUUA